This 445-nucleotide ribosomal RNA is filed under the name uncultured bacterium. RNAcentral's name for it is "partial 16S ribosomal RNA". It matches the Rfam family "Bacterial small subunit ribosomal RNA", at positions 354 to 796 of the family's 1533-position model. The record is from RNAcentral.
GUGAGGAAUAUUGGUCAAUGGGCGGGAGCCUGAACCAGCCAAGUCGCGUGAAGGAAGAAGGAUCUAUGGUUCGUAAACUUCUUUUGCAGGGGAAUAAAGUGCGGGACGUGUCCUGUUUUGUAUGUACUGUACGAAUAAGGAUCGGCUAACUCCGUGCCAGCAGCCGCGGUAAUACGGAGGAUCCGAGCGUUAUCCGGAUUUAUUGGGUUUAAAGGGUGCGUAGGUGGAUUGAUAAGUCAGCGGUGAAAGUUUGCAGCUUAACUGUAAAAUUGCCGUUGAAACUGUCGGUCUUGAGUGCAAAUGAGGUAGGCGGAAUGUGUUGUGUAGCGGUGAAAUGCUUAGAUAUAACACAGAACUCCGAUUGCGAAGGCAGCUUACUGGGAUGCAACUGACACUGAUGCACGAAAGCGUGGGUAUCAAACAGGAUUAGAUACCCCUGUAGUCC